GAGGAAAGUCCGGGCUCCAAAGGGCAGGGCGCCGGGUAAUACCCGGGGUGGGGAAACCCCACACGGUAAGGGCCACAGAAACGAGACCGCCGAAGCGGUAAGCCAGGCAAGGGUGAAAGGGUGGGGUAAGGGCCCACCGGCUCCGCGGUAACGCGGGGUGAGGGGGUAAAAAUCCCCCGGCGGGUUUUCCCGCUCUGGUAACCUCCCGCCCGGAGCAAGGCCAAGUAGCGCCGCACCCCGAAAGGGGAUAAGGUGGCCCGCCGAAAUGCGGUGCGGGUAGGCCGCAAUGGAAGUCGGGGGGCAACUCCCGACUCAAGAUAGAUGACCACCUAGUACAGAACCCGGCUUA
RNAcentral lists this RNase P RNA (349 nucleotides) under unidentified eubacterium clone EM14b-11. RNAcentral's name for it is "partial ribonuclease P RNA". It matches the Rfam family "Bacterial RNase P class A", at positions 43 to 351 of the family's 367-position model. From Rfam's summary of the family: Ribonuclease P (RNase P) is a ubiquitous endoribonuclease, found in archaea, bacteria and eukarya as well as chloroplasts and mitochondria. The record is from RNAcentral.